CCUUAUGACCUGGGCUACACACGUGCUACAAUGGGAAGUACAAUGAGUCGCUAGACCGCGAGGUCAUGCAAAUCUCUUAAAGCUUCUCUCAGUUCGGAUUGCAGGCUGCAACUCGCCUGCAUGAAGCCGGAAUCGCUAGUAAUCGCGGAUCAGCACGCCGCGGUGAAUACGUUCCCGGGCCUUGUACACACCGCCCGUCACACCACGAGAGUUUGUAACACCCGAAGUCGGUGAGGUAACCUUUUUGGAGCCAGCCGCCUAAGGUGGGAUAGAUGAUUGGGGUGAAGUCGUAACAAGGUAGCCGUAUCGGAAGGUGCGGUUGGAUCACCU
RNAcentral lists this ribosomal RNA (330 nucleotides) under Enterococcus faecalis. Its description in RNAcentral is "bacterial SSU rRNA". It matches the Rfam family "Bacterial small subunit ribosomal RNA", at positions 1200 to 1528 of the family's 1533-position model. The record is from RNAcentral. Lineage: Bacteria; Bacillati; Bacillota; Bacilli; Lactobacillales; Enterococcaceae.